Molecule: ribosomal RNA, 561 nt
Filed under: uncultured bacterium
Lineage: Bacteria
Description: bacterial SSU rRNA
Rfam family: Bacterial small subunit ribosomal RNA
Source: RNAcentral
CCUACGGGAGGCAGCAGUGGGGAAUAUUGGACAAUGGGCGAAAGCCUGAUCCAGCAAUGCCGCGUGAGUGAUGAAGGCCUUCGGGUCGUAAAGCUCUUUUACCAGGGAUGAUAAUGACAGUACCUGGAGAAUAAGCUCCGGCUAACUCCGUGCCAGCAGCCGCGGUAAUACGGAGGGAGCUAGCGCUGUUCGGAAUUACUGGGCGUAAAGAGUACGUAGGCGGUUAUUCAAGUCAGAGGUGAAAGCCCGGGGCUCAACCCCGGAACUGCCUUUGAAACUAGAUAACUAGAGUCUUGGAGAGGUUAGUGGAAUUCCGAGUGUAGAGGUGAAAUUCGUAGAUAUUCGGAAGAACACCAGUGGCGAAGGCGACUAACUGGACAAGUACUGACGCUGAGGUACGAAAGCGUGGGGAGCAAACAGGAUUAGAUACCCUGGUAGUCCACGCCGUAAACGAUGAUAACUAGUUGUUCGGUCACUUGGUGACUGAGUGACGCAGCUAACGCAUUAAGUUAUCCGCCUGGGGAGUACGGUCGCAAGAUUAAAACUCAAAGGAAUUGACGG